RNAcentral lists this long non-coding RNA (1375 nucleotides) under Salmo salar (Atlantic salmon). RNAcentral describes it as "lncRNA (ENSSSAG00000118295.1)". Lineage: Eukaryota; Metazoa; Chordata; Actinopteri; Salmoniformes; Salmonidae. The record is from RNAcentral.
GGAAGGCUCUACACCACUCUCUCACUUGAGAGUUCCAGAUGUGGCUGGAAGAGUGGUGACGGACAACAGUCGAGGGCAUCUUCACUCAGUAGUGAGCACGUAGGAGCUCAUCUUCAUGGAGCAGCUGGAGUUCAUCUAUACAAGUUUGGAACUGCGGAGUCCAUCCACAGCGACCAAGGUAGAAACUGAGUCCCGUGUGUUCGCUACCAUGUGUGAGGCGCUUCAACAAAACGCUUGGACAGCAGCUGGCCAUCGUCUCUGCCAAACACCAGUGUGACUGAGACAAGCACCUGUCCAUGGUCCUCAUGGCAUGCCACUCCACCUCCUGCACGCCUGCCCUCCUGCUGGCGAGAGAGAUCCGCACCUGUGCAGAGAUGGCGUUUGGUCGGCCCCUGUGUAGCCCUCUUGUUCCCCCGGGGCUGGAGUACGCCCGGAGACUCCAGGACCGCCUGGAGACAGCCCAAACCUUAGCCACAGAGCAGCUGGUGACUGCAGGAGUGAGGCAGAAGAGGAACGAUGACGUGCACACCCAGGGAAGGCACUUUGUGGCAGGGGAGCUGGUCUGCGUCUACAGCCUCCUAAGCAAGAAAGGCAGAUUACCCAAGUUGGACAGCCACUGGUUGAGGCCCUGGAGAGGGUAGGGGACUGUACCAGGUGCAGCUUUCUUGCAGGGGGAGAAAGUCGGCACUGCACCGGGACAGGUUAGUCUUCUCCUUGAACCCCCACAACAUUCCCCAAGCACCCACACCCAGGUGCCGCAGACAAGGCUCCAGAAGGCCCACUCACUGUCUUCCUCCCUGUGUCACUGAGUGGUCCCCGGGGCCAUGGAGUGUAUCCCAUUCCCUCAUUCUUGUCCCCCAUGUCCCUGCCUUCAUCCCCUGGGUCCUAGAGGAGCAGCCCCCUACCAGACUGAGCCCCCUGUUCCACAUCUGGACCCUCUGCUCCCAUCGCGGCCACACAGGUAAAGGAGACAUCCGUGGCACUUCAGAGACUGUUUGUUCCCUCAGGGAUGAGGGAAUUUGUGGUGGGGGGGCUGUGUAACGACCCGCACAGACCGCUGUGUGUUAUGAGUUAUGCUGUUCGUUUGUCGUACUUACCAGUACCCAGUGUUUGCAAGGUUGACUGGCAUGUCGGACCCAUCUGCCAACCACGGGAAUGCCUGGAAUGUUCCGGUGCCGGGCAUCCUUGUGGUUGGUGGAGCAGCAGGAGGGAGGGUUUGGCAGCGGGGUGGAGCACUGCAAGUUUAAGACCAUGCUUAGCCAUUGUUUUGUCUUAACAAGAGAUGGUCACUUUUUAUACUGUGAUCCUUGAUUUAUAUGGUGUGGGCUAUGGCUGAACAGUAGCUGGUGUUGGGUUAAUAAACUGGGAAUUUGUA